CUUUAAAAAUCUUUUUCUCAAGAAUGACAAAGCCAUAAUUCAUCAUAUUUAUAUGGAAGCAUGCUCAGGCAGUGUAAAUUCAAGUUUUUUUUUCAAAUCAUGACCACUAGGGGUAGGGCGGGGCCAAAAUGGCCGACCAAAGUUUUUAAAGGUAUAUAU
Saccostrea cuccullata (small rock oyster) is the source of this 159-nucleotide long non-coding RNA. RefSeq lists it as uncharacterized. Lineage: Eukaryota; Metazoa; Mollusca; Bivalvia; Ostreida; Ostreidae. The record is from RefSeq and is a predicted model, not a curated record. The transcript has 2 exons.